Molecule: ribosomal RNA, 467 nt
Filed under: uncultured bacterium
Lineage: Bacteria
Description: partial 16S ribosomal RNA
Rfam family: Bacterial small subunit ribosomal RNA
Source: RNAcentral
GACGAACGCUGGCGGCGUGCUUAACACAUGAAAGUCGAACGGAAAGGCCCUGCUUUUGUGGGGUGCUCGAGUGGCGAACGGGUGAGUAACACGUGAGAACCUGCCCUUGACUUUGGGAUAACUUCAGGAAACUGGGGCUAAUACCGGAUAGGAGCUCCUGCUGCAUGGUGGGGGUUGGAAAGUUUCGGCGGUUGGGGAUGGACUCGCGGCUUAUCAGCUUGUUGGUGGGGUAGUGGCUUACCAAGGCUUUGACGGGUAGCCGGCCUGAGAGGGUGACCGGCCACAUUGGGACUGAGAUACGGCCCAGACUCCUACGGGAGGCAGCAGUGGGGAAUAUUGCACAAUGGGCGGAAGCCUGAUGCAGCAACGCCGCGUGCGGGAUGACGGCCUUCGGGUUAUAAACCGCUUUCGCCUGUGACGAAGCGUGAGUGACGGUAAUGGGUAAAGAAGCACCGGCUAACUACGUG